UUGAGUUUUGGUGAGGAUCAUCUGUAUGAUCCACCACAAUGGCACUUUUUGGAGGAUUUUCCACAUAUGGUGGAUGAAAAUGAAGAGUUGCUGCAAAAGUGCAUGUCUGGAAGUGAAAUUGAGAUUCCACAAUUAACUGAUCGUGAAAGGCUCGAGAAGCUACCGCAAUGGCUUUUAAACCUUAAGUCUUUGAGAAAGCUAUUUAUUGCAAGCUGCCUAAGA
Molecule: unclassified non-coding RNA, 222 nt
Filed under: Hevea brasiliensis (rubber tree)
Lineage: Eukaryota; Viridiplantae; Streptophyta; Magnoliopsida; Malpighiales; Euphorbiaceae
Source: RNAcentral